Molecule: ribosomal RNA, 250 nt
Filed under: uncultured bacterium
Lineage: Bacteria
Description: partial 16S ribosomal RNA
Rfam family: Bacterial small subunit ribosomal RNA
Source: RNAcentral
UACGUAGGGGGCAAGCGUUAUCCGGAUUUACUGGGUGUAAAGGGAGCGUAGACGGCAGGGCAAGUCUGAAGUGAAAGCCCGGGGCUCAACCCCGGGACUGCUUUGGAAACUGUCCAGCUGGAGUGCAGGAGAGGUGAGUGGAAUUCCUAGUGUAGCGGUGAAAUGCGUAGAUAUUAGGAGGAACACCAGUGGCGAAGGCGGCCUACUGGACUGUAACUGACGUUGAGGCUCGAAAGCGUGGGGAGCAAAC